AUCAGGAAGACCAGGGGGUAGGCGGGGCGGGGAAGAGGUGGGAAGAGCUCGCAGCACCGCCGGGCGCCCGUCGGGCUCUUGGGGAGAGAGAGAGAGAGAAAUCCGGUUAAAAUCUGGAGUCGGAGGGAGGUUUAACCACAGAUCGGUUCCGAUCGGAUUAUUCCUUAAAGGGGACGCGCCAUUGUCAAGAGAACGAAGUCUGGGGCCCGAGGGCGGGGACCGGCGGCGCCUGAGGAGCGAGGCAGCUGCACUUGGACUGGGGACGGAGUACAUCAUGUGAAAUGCCGGGCUGGAUGAAGCACAAGCUGGAAUCAAGAUUGCUGGGAGAAAUAUUAAUAACCUCAGAUAUACAGCUGACACCACCCUUAUGGCAGAAAGUGAAGAAGAACUAAAGAGCCUCUUGAUGAAGGUGAAAGAGGAGAGUGAAAAAGCUGACUUAAAACUCAGCAUUCAAAAAAUGAAGAUCGUGGCAUCUGGUCCCAUCACUUCAUGGCAAAUAGAUGGGGAAACAACAGAAACAGUGACAGACUAUUUUCUUGGGUUCCAAAAUCACUGCGGAUGGUGACUGCAGCCAUGAAAUUAAAAGAUGCUUACUCCUUGGAAGAAAAGCUAUGAUAAAUCUAGACAGCAUAUUAAAAAGCGGAGACGUUACUUUGCUGACAAAGGUCCAUAUAGUCAAAGCUGUGGUUUUACCAUUUGUCAUAUAUGGAUGUGAGAGUUGGACCAUGAAGAAGGCUGAGCACUGAAGAAGUGAUGCUUUCCAACUGUGGUGUUGGAGAAGACUCUUGAGAGUCCCUUGGACUGCAAGGAGAUCAAACCAGUCAAACCUAAAAGAAAUCAACCCUGAAUAUUCAUUGGAAGGACUGAUGCUGAAGCUGAAGCUCCAAUACUUUGACCACCUGAUGCGAAGAACUGACUUAAUGGAAAAGACCCUGAUGCUGGGAAAGAUAGAAGGCCGGAGGAGAAGGGGACGACAGAAGACGAGAUGGUUGUAUGGUAUCACUGACUUGAUGGACAUGAAUUUGAGUAACCUCUUGGAGAUGGUGAAGGACAGGGAAGCCUGGCGUGCUGCAGUCCGUGGGGUUGCAAAGAGUCAGACAUGACUGAGCAACUGAACAACAAAUGUGUGUCUCAACGUCACAAACAGAAGCCUUUCUGGAUAUUUAAGCUGAAGAGAUUUCAUACAAUGUAUUAGGUGCUUGCAGAAUUGUUAAAGUACCUAACAGCAGGUUUUAGGGGAUCAGUCCAGAGGUAACUCACCAGGGCGGCUCAGAGGCCAUGCCAGGAACUGUGCUGGAAUCCAUACCUGGAGCCACCUCUUCCACAGCUGUAUUAAUAUUUGCCUCCGGACACUCUGGAAACUGCCGGACAGACCCCGAGCUGCAACCCAGAGUUAGGAGGUCAGACCCAAUACCUCUGCUGGUGGUGCUCCUGCUGUCCUGCUUCUCAUUACCCAAGAAGCUGGGGGAUGCUGGAAUGAUGCUGUGAAGCAAUCUCGUAUUUCUACAACUGUGCUUGCCUCCCAAACAACUAAGAAACUCCCUUUCUACUUGCCCAUAGGCAGGUGGGAGGUCGAGUGAGGCAGAUCUGUCAUAUCCAGCAUAGUAAAGGCCCUAAGCAGCGUGACGCAGGACCAGGAGAGGGUACUGUUGUCCAUCUCACACACUGAAUAUUAUUAAAUUUCAAAUUUAAGAUCACACAUGUAAUGUGUCUUCUGCAUGCAUGCUAAAUCGCUUCAUAAUUGUGUGACUCUUUGUGACCCCAUGGACCGUAGCCUGCCAGGCUCCUCUGUCCAUGGGAUUCUCCAGGAAAGAAUAUUGGAGUGGGUUGCCAUGCCCUUCUCCAGGGGAUAUCCCUGACCCAGGAAUUGAACCUGUUUCUCCUGCACUGCAGGCGGAUUCUUUACUCACUGAGCCAUCUGGGAAGGUGGCUCAUUAUAUCUUCUAGUAUUUUCUUUUUAUCUAACUGGCUUGAGAAUCUCUCUGAGG
Long non-coding RNA from Bos taurus (domestic cattle), 1988 nucleotides. The record is from Ensembl. NCBI's taxonomy places the organism in Eukaryota, Metazoa, Chordata, Mammalia, Artiodactyla, Bovidae.